AAAAACCAAACAAAACAAAAACACAACAACAACUUCCUAAACAAAACAACAAAAAUUCACUGUGCUGUUUUUAGUGUUGUUGCUGUAGUUUUAGUGUUGUUGCAGUAUUUGUUUUGUUGCAGUAGUUUUAGUUUUGUUGUAGUUUUAGUUUGUUUUGUUGCAGUAGUUUUAGUUUGUUUUGUUGCAGUAGUUUUAGUUUGUUUUGUUGCAGUAGUUUUAGUUUGUUUUGUUGCAUUUUAGUUUGUUUUGUUGCAGUAGUUUUAGUUUGUUUUGUUGCAGUAGUUUUAGUUUGUUUUGUUGCAGUAGUUUUAGUUUGUUUUGUUGCAGUAGUUUUAGUGUUGUUGCAGUAGUUUUAGUGUUGUUGCAGUAGUUUUAG
Ictalurus punctatus (channel catfish) is the source of this 376-nucleotide long non-coding RNA. Lineage: Eukaryota; Metazoa; Chordata; Actinopteri; Siluriformes; Ictaluridae. The record is from Ensembl.